CCAAUCCUUGUUCUCCAUCAUGAGCGAACAACCUAAGGUAUUCAUGUGGAAUCAACAGAAUAUCACAGAUCAAGAUCGUUUUAACGAGCUAUUGUCGAACUCCAUGAACGAUGCUGCUAAUGAGGCCGCNNNNNNNNNNUAAAAAGUUUGCUGUAAAAGAAUCCAAUUUUACUGCGUUUCAGAAACUGUACAACCUCGCG
RNAcentral lists this unclassified non-coding RNA (200 nucleotides) under Hevea brasiliensis (rubber tree). Lineage: Eukaryota; Viridiplantae; Streptophyta; Magnoliopsida; Malpighiales; Euphorbiaceae. The record is from RNAcentral.